This 618-nucleotide long non-coding RNA is filed under the name Rattus norvegicus (Norway rat). RNAcentral's name for it is "long non-coding RNA NONRATT033716". Lineage: Eukaryota; Metazoa; Chordata; Mammalia; Rodentia; Muridae. The record is from RNAcentral.
UGGUGCUUCGUUGGACAGGAAGUAGCUCCCAUCGGUGCUUCGUUGGACAGGAAGUAGCUCCCCCAUAGGUGCUUUGUCCGAGCUGCCUAUAGGAUCUUGCAGAAAUACUCCGGCUGUUGGAACACUGGAGUGGAUUGAUGUGAACUAUGAAGAAGCCUACAGUACCGGAGAAUCGAGAGGGUCUGGAUGCAAUGGAUAUUAAGAUGCCUGGGUGCAGGUCCAGAUGCUUUCGGUGGUGUCUGAGCGCCCAGCCUGUCCUCAGUACGGAAGGAGAAAUCUGUCAAAUUCAAAAGUUCCUCGCAACAAGGCUGAGUCCCUCCCUCUUCUCCGAAGAUGCCAACCAUCUUGCAGAGAAAUCAAGUGGCACUAACUGUGUUUACUUCCUCCUGAACCAAGGUCUUCAGCUCUGUGUUCAAGGAGAAUUUCUAUCAUCUCCCUACUCCCAGCUCAACAGACAGGGCCACGUGCUAUGUAAUUUUCUAAGCACAUUACACAGAUAAUCUAAUUUACCUUAAUAAAACCCCUGUAAGAACUCUUGGUUUAUUAGUGGGUGCUGAGAGGAAAUGGGGGCAAGGAACAAAUGUCCUCAAAGGAACACAGCUCUGCUUCCUUACGUUU